GAGAGACAGAAGUGAGUUGAGUGUGUGUGUAGUCUUGUGUUGUGUGAUGUCCAGAGAAAUGUUGGUGAUGUUUGGACUGAUGCUUCUGAUGUUACAGAUGAUCUCAUGUGUGGAUCAGACGUGCAGGUUUAAUCAGACAGAAAUCUGUUAUGCAGCUCUGGGACACAAACUCUCUCUGCAGAUGGUUCCAGAUUCUCAACACUAUGACGCAACAUUAAAACAUCACAAAACUGGCGACACAACAGUUGAUCCAACAUGUAAAAUUAAAAAUGACACGAUUAAGAGAUGUGAUCUUUACGUGAUCAGAUCUGAUGUUCUGAUCACUAACGGUGCUGUGAUUAUAAAUGGUGUGAUCAGAGAAGAUUCAGGGAAAUACACAUUAGAUCUUUAUGACUCGACUGGCUCAGUAACAUAUAAAGAACUUCACGUGAAUGUUGAAGUUCCAGCUGUUGGUCUCAUUGUGUUGGGUUGUGUUACUGUGAUUCUCGUUGUGUUGUUCAUCACAGUUUAUCACAUUUACAAGAGGAAGAAACAUCACAAGUCAACAGCAGAACAUCAGACAGAGAGGAAAGAGAUGAAGGAUGAAGAGCUUCAGUAUGGUGAAGUGACGUUUACUCCAGACAUGUCCAACAUUCAACAACAGCAGCGGAGGUGUAAAGAACAGGACGAGUGUGUGUACUCUCACAUCAAAUAAACAAACACAUCCACAUAGUUCUGAGCAUAUCGUGAAUAGUCGCAUGAACUUUUAAAUUGAUUUUUUAGCUCAAGUAUUUGUGUGUAAAUAUUUAUUGAGAGAGAGAGAAUGUACAGCGGCUUAAAUGUUUUUAAAAUGUUUUAUCAGAAGCAGGUGGACUGAAAAGUCAGAAGUAAAUUUGUCGGCUGUCUCUUGUUGUGUUGUAUUUUUUAUUUACAGUAUGUACAGUAAAACUUCACUUGUGUAUCAGUACACACUUCACUGUUUGUUUUUUUCAAGGAUUAGGAUAUUUCAUUUCUUUCUUGUGACACACAGUUAGGUCCAUACAUAUUUGGACAGAGGCACAUUUUUUGUUAUUUUAGCUGCACCAAACUGUAUUCAAGUUAGGGUUUUAUAAUGGAUGUCUUAAAGUGCACGCUCUCAACUUUAUCACUCUGUGAUCAAACAUGUGAUAUUUAAAUGUUGAUUAUUUCAUCUUGAUGAGAUGAGUUUCACUCACAUGAGAUCAUCUGUAACAUCAGCAGCAUCAGUCCAAACAUCACCAACAUUUCUCUGGACAUCACACAACACAAGACUACACACACACUCAACUCACUUCUGUCUCUCUCUGGACUGACAGUUUUAUUGAGAAAGAGGAAGUUUCAGACACACACUGGAAAACCACUAACAGACUUUAAAGAGAGAGAGAGAAAUGCACCCAUGUGCAGGAUUGAUACACUUCAGCUUCAAGUGUGUCAAGAUGAGCUGAAUAAACGCAGGAGACCUGUCUCUCUCUGAUCUGAUCUGAUGUGUUUCUCACUGGACUGACAGUUUUAUUGAGAAAGAGGAAGUUUUAUUGCAAACUAAUGGUGAAACGUUUCCAGUAAUAGACUUUAUAAUGAGACACACAAAUUGACUUUAAAGUGCAUCAAAGGAUUUUAAUUCACUUCGCAGACGCACAUACUCUCCACUUCACGUCAGGUGGUUCUCGGCCUCCAUGUCGUACAUUAAAAUCCUUUAACGCACGGCUAGCUUUGGAUUAUCCUACUUAUACCAUGGUCAUUUGUCAAGCUACAGCUGUUAUUGAUGUUUACAGUGUCAUUUUUGAUCAGAAAGUGAGUAUACCACGAUUCAUCGAGCAACCUUGGUAAAUUGGAAUUACACUUCAAAUCCGCGAGAUUACGCCAGGACCAGAUGAACGUCAUAUGCCCAUCCCUAACUAGAGAUUACGCCAGCUCCAUCUGAACAUCCCGUGCCAUCCUCCUGCAAGAGCCUGCGGACUGACUGACCAUCCCAGCUCCAGCUCAGGCAAUUCCAUCACCACCCUAAAGCACAACUAAUGAGCUCUCCCUUUUCUUCAUGAACAUGUCCUCAGUAAGUGUUAAUGAAAGUCAGUGAGUGCAGCUGUGACACGUCAGAGGAGACCUGGUCCUCCCGGCUGAGUCCGGUUUCUUUCACUGGAGUUUGGCUUCCUCGCCACAGGUCUGAUAUUAGAUAUUAUUAGAUAUGAUUUACUAGAAUGAUCUUACUUGCUCUAGAAACACCAUGCACUGUGCUGUGUUUGACACUUUCUGUGUUUUCUGUUUUCUCCUGUAAAGCUGCUUUGGAACAAUCCACAUUGUGAAAAGCGCUAUAUACAUAAAAUUGAAUUGAAUUAUUUUGCUCAUUGGAAACUAAUGAUAAAUAUCCCACUUUAUUUAUAUUAGCUGCUAAUUCAUUUGGUCAAGUAGCUAAUAUAAGCUAGCAAGACAACAUCAGCUAGCAAAAAAUUCAAGAAGGUGUUUGUUUUAAUAUUAGGCUAUUUCUCACAUCUUAAUGUUCUGCAGGUUGUAUUUAGAUUUAACAUUUGUGUAUUGUUAAAAAACUUCUUGCAAAAUGGACUGUUUGAUAAUCGCUCUGUUCUUCUGUCCUGUGAUGGCACUCAGUACAUUUAAGAUCUGUGGUUUGCAUACUUCACAGUUUGCUUUGAACACCAAAGCAGAAUCUUUGCUCGUUUUUUUCUCCCAGGUCGAGCACACGAGAUCACGUCCAGCCCACAACUGUGAUAGGCUAUAGUCCUUCUCAGCUGUGUGAUGAACAUUCUGGUAUUAUCUGAGAAGAAAAUGUGUAGCAUUUAUACACAAAUACAGUCUCUGAAAGUAUUUAAUGACAAAUUACAUCUAAACUGUUCAGAAAAAUGAUCAAAUGUGUAAAGUAAUUUUAUGCCUUCAAAUAAAAUAUGAAAAA
This is an RNA transcript of Triplophysa rosa, 2899 nucleotides long. RefSeq lists it as uncharacterized. The transcript is spliced from 6 exons. NCBI's taxonomy places the organism in Eukaryota, Metazoa, Chordata, Actinopteri, Cypriniformes, Nemacheilidae. The record is from RefSeq and is a predicted model, not a curated record.